This is an RNA transcript of Vespa velutina, 3579 nucleotides long. It is a transcript of the gene named cilia- and flagella-associated protein 251, with no coding region annotated. The record is from RefSeq and is a predicted model, not a curated record. Lineage: Eukaryota; Metazoa; Arthropoda; Insecta; Hymenoptera; Vespidae. The transcript has 11 exons.
AACUGGUACUACUGGUGAAUAUGUUCUCCUUAAUCGAAUAUAAGUGAAGUGGUGCCGCGAGUGUUCGACAUUCAAAAAAUUUUAAAUUUCGUACAUUUAUUAUAACGGAACGUGAAAGAGGUUCGAAUAUAAGAAUGUCGGGUGAUGUACAACCAAGAAAACGAAAGGAUAGGAGACGCAAAAAAGAAGAGGAAGAGUCUGAUAUACCUCCACCAACGUUGAUAAGUCCACCCGAGAGUGUGACAGAUAACGUUACUUUACAUAUUUACAAGGAAACUAGUACGGGUGGCCAUUGGUGUGCACGUAUUAUAUUUUUCAUAUUACUGGCCGUACUCGUCGCUUUAACUGGCAUAAUUAUUUUCGAGCAUAGAGGAACUACGGAUGUGGAUACGCCAAUAGGAGAAUCACGAUGGGCUAAUAUAUUUGAUGGAUGGGUAGAUGAUACUCUUCCAAGUCAUGGAGAUGAAUCUUAUGAUGAAAAAGAUGUAAAAGCUAGUGAGGAAGAAGAAGAAGAAGAAGAAGAAGAAGAAGAAGAGGGGAAGGAAGGUGAAGAAGAGGAAGAAGAAGGAGAAGAAACGGAAGAAGAAGAAGAAGAAACAGAAGAAGAAGAAGAGGAAGAAGAAACGGCUGAUGUAACGAUAAAAUCAGCUAAAGAUAAAACGGAAGAAGAAGAAGAAAAAGAAGAAAAUGAUGAUGAUAAUGAAGAAGAGAAUGUUAAGGAAGAUGAGAACGAAGAUAAAGAUGAAGGUCUAGGUAUUGAAGAAGAAUAUGAAGAAGUAGAUGAACAUGACCGUAAAGAAGAUGAGGAGGAAGAAGAAGAAGGAGGAGAAAAAGAAGAUGAUGAUAAUGAUGAUGAUGAUGAUGAUGAUGAUGAUAGUGGUGUUAAAGGAAUUACGAUUUCAAAGGAAGAAGCAGACGAAGAAGAUGAGGGUAUCGAUCCUGGAGAAUCUAAUAUGGAAGAUGACGACGAUUUAAAUCGGCAGAGCUUAGACGACACCGAUGUGUUAGAAGAAAUGGACAAUAAAAGUGGUGAAGACGAUGAUGAUGAGGUUGAGAGAAAUAUUUUGAAAAAGAAUGAUUAUUACGUUACCAAAGAAGCUCCUGAAGAAGCUUCCGAGGAACAAGAGGAUCAGGCAUCUGAAGAAUUUGUUACGAUACCAGGUGUCCUAGAAAUGGUGGAUGAUUACAGUGCUGAGCCUUUGGAAGAGGUAGAGGAUGGAGAACCUGAAGAAGAUGUGAAUGAUAUAGACAUUGAGCCAGAAGUGGAAGAAAUAGAAGAAGAAUCAACGAGUGUGGCAGUGAAGUUUGGAGUUGGUGUUGCACUUAUCAUUGCUGCACAUUUUGUUCUCGUUAGGCGAUGGAACAACGCUGACGCCGAGUUAAAUCAACUUUCGCAUAACGACGAAGUGAUUAAUCUAAAUAGGCGGAAUACAAUAAUAGUUCCAGCAUCUGUGAAGGAAGCAGAAACAUUGCAAAUCGAAGAACAAAAUCGAAUGCUAACCACCAAGAAAAAACAGGCUUAUGAAACUUUACGAACGAAGUAUGAAAAAUUAGAAACUGAAGAUAAUAAACCCGAAAAUGUUAUUGUAGAAAAAACUUUGAGCCCGUCAGAAGAAACAUGGUCCAAGCUUAAGACGCAAGUUGUUGAGAAAAUUAAUGAGAAGCCAUCGAAAGUGAUAUCAUCCGAAGAAGAAACGGAAGAUGUGGAAGAUGAAUUGGAGACAUCAGAUGGAGAACGUAUUUCCGGUACAGAAGAAGAUGAAGACGAAAGAGAAGAAGAUGAGGUGGAAGAUGAAGAGGAUAUUGAAGAAGAAAUAGAAGACGUUGAUGAUUCGGAAUUAGUUGCUAGAUUAGAGGCAAGAUAUGGUAAAUUGGCAACUCCGCAAGACAGCGAGAUCGAGGAUGAAUUAGAAUAUGAAGAAGAGGAAGAAGAAGUUGAAGAUGAUGAUGAUGAAGAAGAAGAAGAAGAAGAAGAAAUAGAAGACGAGGAUGUAGCAGGAUGGAAACGUAUAAAAGCACCUAAAGAGACAACAGGAUCGUCUAAGCCUGUACCUUCGGCUACAGAUAAAUCUGGGAUUAGCCCUAAACAAGGAGUUUCUACAACAAAGGGUGGUAAAGCAAUAAACGAUUUUCGAAAUAUGUCAACCAUGGACGAUUUGGUGAUAUACGAAGAAAAAGAAAUACCUCUGGAAAUUGAUGACUAAGUUUCACCCUCAUAAUCCUUAACAUUAUCCACUAUUUCCAUCAAUCAUUUCAUGUGUUUUAAUUUUGUCAACACAAUAUACAACUUGGAUGUUUUAUUUAUUUUUUUUUUUUUUUUGAUAUAUAAUUGUUUUGUAAAUAUUUCUGUGUAAACUCAUAUUAAUUGAUUUGCAAUUAAAAGCAAUAGCUUUGGGUUUAAUAUUAGUCAAUAAUUGUUGACAUUUUUUCAUCUUCUAAACGUGUUACUUGAAGUAGUAAUAUCAUAAAGAAAAAAAAAAGAGAGGAAAAAAAAGAAAGAAACUAUAGACAUACCAAUUAAUAUAUUAUUAUUCAAAAAUAUAUGUGAAAAUCUGUAAAAUUAUAUGAUUUCUUAUAUUUACAUGACAAUAUUAUAAAAAUCUUUCAUAGUGAUCUGUCCUAAUCACCCAUUCCAAUUUUCUUCCUAAUAUUAGAAGAUGAGAGAAGAAUAACUUACCAGAAAAGAAUUGAUAAUACAAUAAUCAAAAACAGCAAGAUGAAAGCAGUAGGGAUAUGAUGAAAGUAAAAUGUGUAUUUUCAUGAAGAUCUUAAGAAGAAAUUUUAAUUGUGACAUUAUUAGGCAAAAAUUAACGGAUUAAGCGUAAAGUAACUUAAUACUUAUGCUUAUGUCUGUGCUUACGCGGAGAAGGCGAAGGUGGACUAUUAGCUCUAUGUUUAGAGGAAGUACGAGGUGGCGGUGGAGGUGACAAAGAUGGAGAUCUACCACGUCUUUUUCGAUCAUUACGUUCACUGCCUGGCGAUCUUCUUGAUGUUCUAGAUGAAGAAAGAGAAGGUGAUGGUGUACGUCGAAUACGAGGAGGCGAUGGAGUCACUGGUACACGCUUUUUAUAUGGUGAUCGCGAUCUACGUUUAUUACGCGGUGAUCUACUGCGGGAUCUAAAACAAUAUAAUAAUAAUAGAUCAUAUUGAGAUCAUAGGAAGACAUCCUUAUUAAUUACAAUUACCUCAUCAUAUAUAUUUUUUUGUUCUCUUUAUUUUUAUUUUUUCCUUUUUUGUGAAUGUUAAUUUAAUUAAUGCUUGUAAAUUAUCAGUAUGUAUAUCUUAAAAUAUGUGCUGUUACGAGAUUUAUAAUUAUUGUUGUUUAUUACUUCAAUAUUUUUCUAGUAUAUUAUUUUUUUUAUAUCAUUAACGCGAUAAAUGCAGUCGUUUUGAAGUCCCACAAUAUUACAAAUAAUUAAAAGAACACGCAUACAAUAUAUAUAUAUAUAUAUAUAUAUGUGUAUACACAAUCAUAAUACUUAAAAAUCUAGUAAAUGAAUAGUGAAUAUGAAAACAGAUGUAAAGAUUAAUGGAUAAUGUAAAUACAAUAAAAUAAUAUAUAUAUAGAUAUUUUCUUAA